CCCUAUGGGUUGUAAACUGCUUUUAUACAGGAAGAAACAUCUCUACGUGUAGAGACUUGACGGUACUGUAAGAAUAAGGAUCGGCUAACUCCGUGCCAGCAGCCGCGGUAAUACGGAGGAUCCAAGCGUUAUCCGGAAUCAUUGGGUUUAAAGGGUCCGUAGGUGGAUAAUUAAGUCAGAGGUGAAAGUUUGCAGCUCAACUGUAAAAUUGCCUUUGAUACUGGUUAUCUUGAAUCAUUAUGAAGUAGUUAGAAUAUGUAGUGUAGCGGUGAAAUGCAUAGAUAUUACAUAGAAUACCAAU
This 301-nucleotide ribosomal RNA is filed under the name Algibacter sp. 1M6. RNAcentral describes it as "bacterial SSU rRNA". It matches the Rfam family "Bacterial small subunit ribosomal RNA", at positions 414 to 713 of the family's 1533-position model. The record is from RNAcentral. Lineage: Bacteria; Pseudomonadati; Bacteroidota; Flavobacteriia; Flavobacteriales; Flavobacteriaceae.